AGCGCGCUGCACUGUGGUCUUCUCUCCCAUUCUUGGGUAAGUAAUAAACCAAAACCUAAAAAAAUUCCUCUCAGAGGAGCUAAGGGCUCCCUGAAUCCCAACAUUACAAGACCUUUAAGAGGUAAUUAGAUCAUGAGGACUCUGCCUUCUUAAAUGGAUUAAUACCAUUAUCAAUGAAGUGGGUUCAUUAUCAUGAGAGUGGAUUUGCUAUAAAAGUGAAUUUGGUUCCCUCUUGCUCUUUCUCCUGCACAUGUGAUGUCUCUCUAUGUGAUACUUCCUGCCAUGUUAUGUUGCAGGGAGAAGACUCUCACCAGAUGCAACCCCUCUAACUUAGACUUCCCAGCCUCCAGAAGGCAGAAAUGUGCUACAACCGCUCAAGGUCUGCAAUCAGAUUCCUAUUUAGAUGAUGUUGAGAGGCAAGUAUGACUAGUUCUCAUUAAUAUUUCAGGUCCUAUGUGCCACACUUACACUGCCAUUUUGUAGUCAUUUGUUCUACAUCUAAAGAUUAAUUUAUAAUCAGAUAUGUGCAAUCUGUUAUAUGCAUUAAGCUUGAUUAUACCUGUGUCUUCACGAAGAUAACUGUGACAUAUUAAUUUGCAAGUGUGCUCUAUUUACAUUAUAUAUAGUAUUACAGACAAUAUUAGGCAUACGAUAAUUGCCAUUAGGCCCCAAAAUUGAUAAUAUGAUUUCCCAAUGACUCUGAAACAUUUUCAAGAUACUAGAAAUUUGUGACAGAUGCCUCUUACAUCUGUGAGAAUCUAGAAUAUUAUGCUUUAAAAUGCAUUUUCUCAUAAGUAGCUCAUUAACUUUCUCAUUGUUCUCAGUUGUAAAUCCGUAAAAAGUUAUUUUGUUGACUUGUCUGUAACAAGAAAUAUUUUGCACUCAUUAAGGUAAUUAAAGCAAGACUAGUGCAUGCAUGCUCGCUAUAUUCAAAACAUUUUCUACUUGAUAUGAGUUGUCAUGGCAUUAUCAAGACUGGGAAGGAAAGAAAAAAUAAAAUAGGGUCAGCCUAUGGUUUUGCUCUUUGACUUUGAAUAUGAUUAAUUGCAUCUUUAAAUUUGUUCCUGAGUCCUUGUUUAAAAUCAAAACUGGAAAACAUUUUGCAGGAGCAAUACUCUUGUUCAAUUUGCUUCUUUUAAUUCAAUAGAAUGCUUAACGUCAUACAUUUUGGCAAGUUUUAUAAAUCUUUUGUCUUUUUGUUACAGUCAGGUAAGGGUUUUAUUUCCUCUCAUGUAUUUGCUUUAUUUUGCUUGGGUAAAUAAAUGUUUUUAAAUUUAGUUUAUGUCUUUACAUUAUAUAGGUAGUCCAAGAUGUCAGCUGGUAACAAAAUUAUCCAAGCAAAAUAGAUGUUUAUGUUAUGGGUUUCUUGAUCUUCUACUCUUAGGCUUUUUGAGAUAGAUUCACUUUUAUCCUUUUGAUCUUCUAAAACAUUUUUUUCUUUUUAAUUUUUGUGGGUACAUAGUAGGUGUAUAUAUUUACGAGGCACAACAGCAGUUUUGAUACAGGCAUACAAAACAUGAUAAUCACAUCAGGGUAAAUGGAAUAUCCAUCACCUCAAGCAUUUAUCAUCUCUUUGUAUUAUAAUUUAAUUCUAUGCUUCUAAUUAUUUUUCAAUGUAUAAUAAAUUCCUAUUGACUACAGUCACCCUGAUGUGCUAUGACACAGUAGAUCUUAAUCAUUCUAUCUAUUUUUGUACCCAUUAACCAUUCUCAUUCUGUACCAGUCUUCCCACUAUGCUUCCCAGCCUCUGGUACCCAUCUUUCUACUCUAUCUCUGUGAGUUUAAUGGUUUUAAUUUUUAUCUCCCACAAAUAAGUGAGAACAUGGAAAGUUUGUCUUUCUUACCUGGUUUAUUCACUUAACCUAAUGACCUCUAGUUCCAUUCAUGUCAUUGCAAAUGACAGGAUGUCAUUCUUUAUAUUUCAUCCACAAAUGGUAUGACAAGCUGUAGUAGACAGGUAUUAUUUUCUGGUCUAAUCUCACAUCCCCAUUUUAUCUUUAGGAGAAACUAAACUAUUUUUCUGCAAACUACCCCUUUCCCCACCUUAAUCCUAUAGGUGUUUUGUUUUGUUUUGCUGCAACUCUACUUUAUUACCUUACUUAUUGUAUGCCUGUUGCUCCAUCCAGGUGUGGGCAGUUUAUCCUAUUGAUUCAAUCGUUUCUUCAAUGAGCACUUUUUAAAUUAUACAGGAAAGUAUGAGUGAUUCCAGUUUAUUGCCAAGUUUUAAAUUGUGAUGACAUCAGCUCUAUUAAUAGGCUAAUAAAACUUUUAAGAUUAGGCCUGGUCAUAAGAAUACUUUUUCAGCAUUCAUUUCUUGAAUAGAUACACAAAAUGCUUUAUUUUAUGGUUCUGUAUUAGUCAAAAUUCUCCAAAUAUGCAGAACCAAUAGAUAGAUAGAUACAUAGAUGAUAGAUAGAUACGAAAAUAGAUAUAUAAAUACAUGUGAGGGGAUUUAUUAGGGAAUUGGCUCAAAUAUUAUGGAAGUUCAGAUGUCCCACACUAGAUCAUCUGUAACCUGAAACCAGAGAAGCCACUAGCAUGGCUCAGUCCAAUUUGGAAGGUCCAAGAACUGAGAAAUCCAACGAUGAAAGUCUCAAUCUGAGUCCAGCGGCAGGAGAGCCCCAGGAGACUGCUAGUGCGAAUCCCAGAGUCAAUGACUGAAAAACCUAGAGUUCUGAUGCUUGACGGCAGCAGAAGGGUGUCCUACUUCAAAAGAGAGAAAGAUAGAAUUAGCCCUUCUACCUUUUUGUUUAUAUAGGCGCCCUUAGCCAGUUGGAUUUGCCUACAUUGAGAAUAGCAUUUCCCUACUUUGUUGACUGGCUGAUAUGCCAGUUGUCCUCCAAAAACACCCU
Long non-coding RNA from Callithrix jacchus (white-tufted-ear marmoset), 2852 nucleotides. NCBI's taxonomy places the organism in Eukaryota, Metazoa, Chordata, Mammalia, Primates, Cebidae. The record is from Ensembl.